This 420-nucleotide ribosomal RNA is filed under the name Hydatina physis. Its description in RNAcentral is "partial 16S ribosomal RNA". It matches the Rfam family "Archaeal large subunit ribosomal RNA", at positions 1920 to 2665 of the family's 2987-position model. Lineage: Eukaryota; Metazoa; Mollusca; Gastropoda; Aplustridae. The record is from RNAcentral.
AGCCUAAAGCUUGAUUUUAGGUUUAGCCUGCCCAGUGUGACUUAUCAACGGCCGCGGUACUUUGACCGUGCUAAGGUAGCAUAAUCAGUUGACUUUUAAUUGAAGUCUGGAAUGAACGGAUAAAUGGGGGUAGACUGUCUCCGUUAAACUUUAUUGAACUUACUUUUGAGGUGAAAAAGCCUUAACUAAAGAAAAAGACGAGAAGACCCUAGGAGCUUUAUAAUAAUUUUGUUGGGGCGACAAAGGAAAAUAUUGAUCUUCCUUUAAUAACUUAUUUUACAAGACGAAUGUUUAAGAAAGGUUAAGCUACCCUAGGGAUAACAGCAUAAUUUAUUAAAUAAGAUUGUGACCUCGAUGUUGGACUAGGAAUUAGAUAGGUGAGCAACCUUUCUUAACGGUUCUGUUCGAACUUUGUCUCCU